GACGAACGCUGGCGGCGCGCCUAACACAUGCAAGUCGAACGAGAGAGAGGGAGCUUGCUUCUUCAAUCGAGUGGCGAACGGGUGAGUAACGCGUGAGGAACCUGCCUCAAAGAGGGGGACAACAGUUGGAAACGACUGCUAAUACCGCAUAAGCCCACAGCUCGGCAUCGAGCAGAGGGAAAAGGAGCAAUCCGCUUUGAGACGGCCUCGCGUCCGAUUAGCUAGUUGGUGAGGUAAUGGCCCACCAAGGCGACGAUCGGUAGCCGGACUGAGAGGUUGAACGGCCACAUUGGGACUGAGACACGGCCCAGACUCCUACGGGAGGCAGCAGUGGGGAAUAUUGCACAAUGGGGGAAACCCUGAUGCAGCGACGCCGCGUGGAGGAAGAAGGUCUUCGGAUUGUAAACUCCUGUUGUUGAGGAAGAUA
This 427-nucleotide ribosomal RNA is filed under the name uncultured bacterium. Its description in RNAcentral is "bacterial SSU rRNA". It matches the Rfam family "Bacterial small subunit ribosomal RNA", at positions 28 to 450 of the family's 1533-position model. The record is from RNAcentral.